RNAcentral lists this ribosomal RNA (253 nucleotides) under uncultured bacterium. RNAcentral describes it as "partial 16S ribosomal RNA". It matches the Rfam family "Bacterial small subunit ribosomal RNA", at positions 524 to 776 of the family's 1533-position model. The record is from RNAcentral.
UACGGGGGGGGCAAGCGUUGUUCGGAUUUACUGGGCGUAAAGGGCUCGUAGGCGGCCAACUAAGUCAGACGUGAAAUCCCUCGGCUUAACCGGGGAACUGCGUCUGAUACUGGAUGGCUUGAGUUUGGGAGAGGGAUGCGGAAUUCCAGGUGUAGCGGUGAAAUGCGUAGAUAUCUGGAGGAACACCGGUGGCGAAGGCGGCUUCCUGGACCGACACUGACGCUGAGGCGCGAAAGCUAGGGGAGCAAACGGG